GCCGCGUGAGCGGAGGAAGGCCUUCGGGUCGUAAAGCUCUGUUGUCAGGGAAGAAGGCGCGCCGUUCGAAUAGGGCGGCGCGGUGACGGUACCUGACGAGGAAGCCCCGGCUAACUACGUGCCAGCAGCCGCGGUAAAACGUAGGGGGCGAGCGUUGUCCGGAAUUACUGGGCGUAAAGCGCGCGCAGGCGGUCCUUUAAGUCUGAUGUGAAAUUCCGCGGCUCAACCGCGGGUGUGCAUUGGAAACUGGGGGACUUGAGUGCGGAAGAGGGGAGCGGAAUUCCCGGUGUAGCGGUGAAAUGCGUAGAGAUCGGGAGGAACACCAGUGGCGAAGGCGGCUCUCUGGUCCGGAACUGACGCUGAGGCGCGAAAGCGUGGGGAGCGAACAGGAUUAGAUACCCUGGUAGUCCACGCCGUAAACGAUGAGUGCUAAGUGUUAGAGGGGAUUGACCCUUUAGUGCUGCAGCUAACGCAUUAAGCACUCCGCCUGGGGAGUACGGCCGCAAGGCUGAAACUGAAGG
Molecule: ribosomal RNA, 521 nt
Filed under: uncultured bacterium
Lineage: Bacteria
Description: bacterial SSU rRNA
Rfam family: Bacterial small subunit ribosomal RNA
Source: RNAcentral